AUCUGUUCUUAUCAGUUUAAUAUCUGAUACGUCCCCUAUCCGGGAACUGCAUAUUAAAUGGAUUUUUGGAUCACAGAGCUGGACCUGGGGCUUGCGCCGUCCAAUCCACGCAUUGGACUGGUAUUGCAGUGUCUAGAGAAACGGUGU
This 147-nucleotide small nuclear RNA is filed under the name Sinocyclocheilus anshuiensis. RNAcentral describes it as "U2 spliceosomal RNA (ENSSANG00000008152.1)". It matches the Rfam family "U2 spliceosomal RNA", at positions 38 to 185 of the family's 192-position model. Rfam says of the family: U2 is a small nuclear RNA (snRNA) component of the spliceosome (involved in pre-mRNA splicing). Complementary binding between U2 snRNA (in an area lying towards the 5' end but 3' to hairpin I) and the branchpoint sequence (BPS) of the intron results the bulging out of an unpaired adenosine, on the BPS, which initiates a nucleophilic attack at the intronic 5' splice site, thus starting the first of two transesterification reactions that mediate splicing. Lineage: Eukaryota; Metazoa; Chordata; Actinopteri; Cypriniformes; Cyprinidae. The record is from RNAcentral.